GGCAAGAUGGCCGAGCGGUCUAAGGCGGUGUGUUCAGGCUAUAUACAGCGUAUUUAUACAAUGUAUAUUGGCGAAUCGCAUUCCGAAAGGGCGUGGGUUCGAAUCCCACUCUUGUCA
The sequence is a transfer RNA, 117 nucleotides long. It matches the Rfam family "tRNA". Rfam says of the family: Transfer RNA (tRNA) molecules are approximately 80 nucleotides in length. Their secondary structure includes four short double-helical elements and three loops (D, anti-codon, and T loops). The record is from Rfam.